RNAcentral lists this long non-coding RNA (1585 nucleotides) under Olea europaea subsp. europaea. Lineage: Eukaryota; Viridiplantae; Streptophyta; Magnoliopsida; Lamiales; Oleaceae. The record is from RNAcentral.
UGAAAUUUGAAUAUAGCAAUUAUAUUCCCCCUAUUGAUUUCACUUAAGUGCUCCCUAUCUACAUGUAUAUAAAAAUUUUAAGUUUGCCCUUUACAAUGUUCAUAAGAUUUUACAAGUUUCCCUUUACAAUGUUUCUCCUGCUUUGCAUAAUCAUCUACUUUAUCCUUCCCCUUUUGGCAUAAGCAAAAAGAGAUAAUAGCACAAAUGAAAGUCAUAAAGAAGUCAACCAUAGGACAUUCAAUACAUAAUAUGCCAUGCAGCCGAAUAACACAAAAGUGCAAUAAUUGAAUUUUAUAGUUGGACAAUAAAGUAACAUCUAGCAAAUGAAAGUGUAGCAAUAAACUAGGGCGUCGGAGUUGGGAAGCAAGCAUAAAAAUUCGCGAAGAAUGCAUUUUGCUACUCUUGCAUUUCGGCCUAUCGGUCCUGGAUAAUGGUCUACUUUGCCUGUAUCUGAAAAAGCAGGCUACCAAGAAGUCGAUGGACGAGGUGGGGGAACCAAUACGCCUGUGAAGGAGAUUAUACCGCUCCUCAGUAAAUAUGAAGUGCCUUCCAAAAGAACGGGGUACAUUAGAGCUAAAAAUGUCAGAAGCGGGAGUAGGUGCUUCAGGCUCGUCUUUGACUUCUUCUUCGAAAAGCAAAGUAGAUGGACCAAAGGUAGGAUCGAAUCCUUUCGUGUGAGCUAUUCAUUGCCCUCAUUCUUUUACUGUCUUCGUUCUUUUUAGUGUUUGGAUGUUGAUAGUAUCGGUAGGGUGUAACUUAACAAAAUCUUCUCCAUCGAAAAAACAUUAAAGUGUUCAAAAUAUUUUGUUAGAAGCAUCCCAUAAGGUCAAGUUUUAACGUGUUGUGAUGCAUGCUCAAGCUUCAUAAGUCCUAAUGCAAUUGUAGGAAAAUCAAUUUGAUGGCCAACUAAAAGUAAAUCCAUAAUAAAGAGACCGAAGUGAUUAACUUCGUCUCAGUGACCUUUUACGAGGAAAAAUAAUAUGGGCGAUAAUGUUUUUUAAAACUUUACAUGGAAGAAUUAAUUGAUGCGCACUCAAUUUUGUAAUAUUCUCAAAAUCCUUCCCGGUGACUUCACGAGAAUAACAUGAAUUGAAGCCUUAGAAAUCGUAAUGCACACAUUUUUUUUACUAAACAUGUAAUCUCAUCGAAAUGAGGUGCAACGUGCAUCUUUUGAUAAAAUUCUUUCAUAAGGUGUGGGUAUGCAUGCUCUUCCAUUGUUGCCAUGGAUACCCAUCCCAUACGUUCAAAACAUUCUUUAAUUUGAAAUGCUGGAAUAUCUAUAGAAAAAUCAGCAUAAUCGACAAUCUCACCAAUUAAAAUGGGUGAUUUUUCGAAAGGAUUCAGUGGCCCCUCCAGCUCCAAGUCCAUUUAUUCUUCCGAAGAUGGUGAAGGAGGUUGUCUCGUAAUUCUUUUUGCCCUUCUUCCUUGUUGAGAUCCCGACAUUGUGACGAAUUAAGGAGAAACUCAAAAGCCCCAAAUUUUGAAUUCUAGGGGUUCAAUCUUCACUAGUAAAAUUCAAAAUUUUUAGAAGAGUUUCAAAUAUCUUGAUGAGUGGUGAUGGGGCCUUUGAAAUCCUAUGAAUUAG